This 468-nucleotide ribosomal RNA is filed under the name uncultured bacterium. Its description in RNAcentral is "partial 16S ribosomal RNA". It matches the Rfam family "Bacterial small subunit ribosomal RNA", at positions 28 to 507 of the family's 1533-position model. The record is from RNAcentral.
GACGAACGCUGGCGGCGUGCUUAACACAUGCAAGUCGAACGGAAAGGCCCUGCUUUUGUGGGGUGCUCGAGUGGCGAACGGGUGAGUAACAAGUGAGUAACCUGCCCUUGACUUUGGGAUAACUUCAGGAAACUGGGGCUAAUACCGGAUAGGAGCUCCUGCUGCAUGGUGGGGGUUGGAAAGUUUCGGCGGUUGGGGAUGGACUCGCGGCUUAUCAGCUUGUUGGUGGGGUAGUGGCUUACCAAGGCUUUGACGGGUAGCCGGCCUGAGAGGGUGACCGGCCACAUUGGGACUGGAAUACGGCCCGGACUCCUACGGGAGGCAGCAGUUGGGAAUAUUGAAUAAUGGGCGGAAGCCUGAUGCAGCAACGCCGCGUGCGGGAUCACGGCCUUCGGGUUGGAAACCGCUUUAGCCUGUGACGAAGCGUGAGUGACGGUAAUGGGUAAAGAAGCACCGGCUAACUACGUG